RNAcentral lists this transfer RNA (76 nucleotides) under bacterium. RNAcentral's name for it is "tRNA-Gly". It matches the Rfam family "tRNA". From Rfam's summary of the family: Transfer RNA (tRNA) molecules are approximately 80 nucleotides in length. Their secondary structure includes four short double-helical elements and three loops (D, anti-codon, and T loops). Further hydrogen bonds mediate the characteristic L-shaped molecular structure. tRNAs have two regions of fundamental functional importance: the anti-codon, which is responsible for specific mRNA codon recognition, and the 3' end, to which the tRNAs corresponding amino acid is attached (by aminoacyl-tRNA synthetases). tRNAs cope with the degeneracy of the genetic code in two manners: having more than one tRNA (with a specific anti-codon) for a particular amino acid; and 'wobble' base-pairing, i.e. permitting non-standard base-pairing at the 3rd anti-codon position. The record is from RNAcentral. RNAcentral also lists the same sequence under 4 other names.
GCGAAAGUAGCUCAAUUGGUAGAGCUCCAGCCUUCCAAGCUGGAGGUUGCGGGUUCGAGACCCGUCUUUCGCUCCA